ACCCCAUUGCUGGUGCAGGAGAAUGGGGUGAGAAAGCCUGCACCAGCAAGCGCGGCACGCGAGAUGUCUCACUCGGUGCCUAUUGAUACUGGAAAGAUUUGUCACAUUACUAAUCGAGGGAAUCAUGAAAUGUCAGUGUUGAAGUGAGCUUAAUGUGGUGAUGCUGCCUGGCUUUCAUGAUGGAGCAGCUGGAUAUUCUGUGAAAAAUGAAAGUACCCUUGUAUCGUUACAUCUUCAGUUUGGCCAGAGUCUAAGAAGGUGCUGGAUCAGCAGCAUGGUUGGUGUCUAGACGAGGACUGCAGAUUUUUGCACCAACAGCGUUAGAACCUUAAUAUAGUUAUGGUUUAUGAAAACUGCUUUCUGUGUGCAUGUGUGGUAUUGUCUCUA
This 387-nucleotide unclassified non-coding RNA is filed under the name Hevea brasiliensis (rubber tree). Lineage: Eukaryota; Viridiplantae; Streptophyta; Magnoliopsida; Malpighiales; Euphorbiaceae. The record is from RNAcentral.